This 738-nucleotide ribosomal RNA is filed under the name uncultured Staphylococcus sp. RNAcentral describes it as "bacterial SSU rRNA". It matches the Rfam family "Bacterial small subunit ribosomal RNA", at positions 62 to 781 of the family's 1533-position model. Lineage: Bacteria; Bacillati; Bacillota; Bacilli; Caryophanales; Staphylococcaceae. The record is from RNAcentral.
UCGAGCGAACGGACGAGAAGCUUGCUUCUCUGAUGUUAGCGGCGGACGGGUGAGUAACACGUGGAUAACCUACCUAUAAGACUGGGAUAACUUCGGGAAACCGGAGCUAAUACCGGAUAAUAUUUUGAACCGCAUGGUUCAAAAGUGAAAGACGGUCUUGCUGUCACUUAUAGAUGGAUCCGCGCUGCAUUAGCUAGUUGGUAAGGUAACGGCCUUACCAAGGCAACGAUGCAUAGCCGACCUGAGAGGGUGAUCGGCCACACUGGAACUGAGACACGGUCCAGACUCCUACGGGAGGCAGCAGUAGGGAAUCUUCCGCAAUGGGCGAAAGCCUGACGGAGCAACGCCGCGUGAGUGAUGAAGGUCUUCGGAUCGUAAAACUCUGUUAUUAGGGAAGAACAUAUGUGUAAGUAACUGUGCACAUCUUGACGGUACCUAAUCAGAAAGCCACGGCUAACUACGUGCCAGCAGCCGCGGUAAUACGUAGGUGGCAAGCGUUAUCCGGAAUUAUUGGGCGUAAAGCGCGCGUAGGCGGUUUUUUAAGUCUGAUGUGAAAGCCCACGGCUCAACCGUGGAGGGUCAUUGGAAACUGGAAAACUUGAGUGCAGAAGAGGAAAGUGGAAUUCCAUGUGUAUCGGUGAAAUGCGCAGAGAUAUGGAGGAACACCAGUGGCGAAGGCGACUUUCUGGUCUGUAACUGACGCUGAUGUGCGAAAGCGUGGGGAUCAAACAGGAUUAG